Nycticebus coucang (slow loris) is the source of this 555-nucleotide long non-coding RNA. RefSeq lists it as uncharacterized. The transcript is spliced from 3 exons. Lineage: Eukaryota; Metazoa; Chordata; Mammalia; Primates; Lorisidae. The record is from RefSeq and is a predicted model, not a curated record.
AGUUGAGGUAGUUGGAGACCUGUGGGGAGCAAGUCCUGUCUUCUGCCACCACCGUGGCUCUUCCUACAGUGGCCUGCUCAGAGUAGCUGUCCUAGGAGCCAUGGGGAGGGUAACAAGGAAUAUGGUUCCUCACCCACUGCCUGUCCGAAGCCUGGGCCUUGGGCCCUACUAGUCAGCCUUCCUGCUUACAAGGUCCUUCUGGCAUCAAACUCAGAUGAACUUGGGAUCCCAUGUGGAUGGAGACCACGUCUGUUUUGUUCACCAGUGUACCCUGACACCUGCCACUACCGAUAGACGUUUGUUGAACGAAUGAAUGGAGCUUUCCUGACCCUCUAACACAGAUGGGAUCUCGGGUCCUCAUCGUGUUCUCUCUGCAUCAUGAUGCGUGGACUGCCUCACCCUUCUGACUAGCCUGGGCUCCUGGCAGCUUUCUCUUUGGCUGUCCCCCCAGACUUGAUGAGUCCAGCUCAGAGGACUACAGGAGCACUUGUGUGUUGAUAAAUGAGAAAUGAAUGAAAAGCUAUCUCAUCACCACUGGUUUGAUAAAGUCCAAAU